UACAUGUAUAUACCUAGGAGCUUUGUAACAAUGCCUCUUAAAUAAUAACAAACUUUUUAAUUUAAUAUAUUUUAGACUGAAAACUGUAUUUCAAUCCCACUUUCUAAAAUUAAAAAAAAAUUAUGAUACUGAUCUAUAUAUUUUUUUUCUGUUUGAAAGAUAUCAUUGGGACCGAUGGGUAACUUUAAAAUGAGAGCUUUGUACAGAUAUUGAAACACAUGAGAUCUAAUGAUUUAGAACUAAUUAAUCUUUUGAAUUGAGCAUAUUGUCGAAAGGGAUUUUUGAAGGGCAGUACCAUUGUUCCACGAUGAAGCUUUCCUUCUUUGCCUUCUGGGCACCAUCUUUAAUUUCCAUGUCUUCAAGUCUUGAAGAAGUUGAUGUUAAUGAAAGUAUACUCUUGUCCGGUUGAAAUAAAGCCUGUUUCUGUUGUGAUUUGUUUUAGUGUAUACGUCAUUUUCAUGUCUUAACCUUCAUGUCCAUAUUAUCUGCUUUUAUAUCAUAAAAUGAAUAUGUGUUAUACUUCAGCUACUCUACAUUUCAUAAGUUGAAGCUUUCACAUAAGCUUGGUAAGAUCCAAAACACUGUCUUCAGUUAAAGCUGUAGUGUAGCCCUAUGCAAGGAUUUAUUUUUUUAAUGUAGCUUUAUUGUUCUUACACAACUAACUCCUUAUUCCCAAAAGAUCACUGCUAUAUUUGAUAAUUCUGAAAGAGUUGCAAAAUUUGGUCAUCACGAAAACAUUGGAUCAACUUCCACCUGGCUUAAAAAAAUUCCAGAAACUAAGAGGCUUUUGAAGAAGCCUGUGUUUCCACAGCCAAUGCCUGACCUCAGCUGUCCUGACCUCACAGCCUCGACCAUGGUCAUUAAUUAACCAUGAUGACUACUCAGCAAAAUCAGACUGGAGGAAUAUCUGUGCAUCACAAAGUUGGUCUCAGAGAACCUUAAGGACCAUUUCAUCUGUGGCAUAAUCUGUUUUCGUGGCCAUAGAGAAAGACAUUGAAUAUGACCAAGAUGUAACCACCCUUUGAUAUUAAAAAAAAAAAAUCAACCUUUCUAAAAUGGUAUAUGACAUUAAGAUUUGCUUUAAAAAGGAAACACCAAAUUAUGUCUAGUUUUGGGAUGCCAAGCAAAUUCCAAAUAUAUUUGUAUACAAACUUUAAGAGUUAUCAGCUCAUUAUAUAAUGCUAACUACUGAUUAAUUAUUGUUCUUGUCCGCAAAGAGUCAGACAAGACUGAGCGACUUCAC
Molecule: long non-coding RNA, 1243 nt
Filed under: Capra hircus (goat)
Lineage: Eukaryota; Metazoa; Chordata; Mammalia; Artiodactyla; Bovidae
Description: lncRNA (ENSCHIG00010015285.1)
Source: RNAcentral